CAGUCGCCGCGGGAAUACGUAGGUGGCAAGCGUUGUCCGGAAUUAUUGGGCGUAAAGCGUCUGUAGGUGGCUUUUCAAGUCCGCCGUCAAAUCCCAGGGCUCAACCCUGGACAGGCGGUGGAAACUACCAAGCUGGAGUACGGUAGGGGCAGAGGGAAUUUCCGGUAGAGCGGUGAAAUGCGUUGAGAUCGGAAAGAACACCAACGGCGAGAGCACUCUGCUGGGCCGACACUGACACUGAGAGACGAAAGCUAGGGGAGCAAAUGGGAUUAGAUACCCGGGUAGUCCAUGUCUCUUAUAC
Molecule: ribosomal RNA, 301 nt
Filed under: uncultured bacterium
Lineage: Bacteria
Description: partial 16S ribosomal RNA
Rfam family: Bacterial small subunit ribosomal RNA
Source: RNAcentral